Long non-coding RNA from Eriocheir sinensis (Chinese mitten crab), 820 nucleotides. RefSeq lists it as uncharacterized. NCBI's taxonomy places the organism in Eukaryota, Metazoa, Arthropoda, Malacostraca, Decapoda, Varunidae. The transcript is spliced from 4 exons. The record is from RefSeq and is a predicted model, not a curated record.
CCCGGGUUUAUCGUUCGGAGUUUGCUCUCCUAGGCAGAUUGCCCACCACGGCUGACGAGCUCCACCUGCCCGGGUUUAUUGUUCGGAGUUUGCUCUCCUAGGUGAAUUGCCUACCACGGCUAACGAACCUCACCUGCCCGGGUUUGUAAUCGGAGUUUGCUCUCCUAGGUGAACUGCUUUCGCUAACGACCUCCACCUGCCCGGGUUUGUAAUCGGAGUUUGCUCUCCUAGAUGAAUUGCUUUCGCUAACGACCUCCACCUGCCCGGGUUUGUAAUCGGAGUUUGCUCUCCUAGAUGAAUUGCUUUCGCUAACGACCUCCACCUGCCCGGGUUUGUAAUCGGAGUUUGCUCUCCUAGAUGAAUUGCUUUCGCUAACGACCUCCACCUGCCCGGGUUUGUAAUCGGAGUUUGCUCUCCUAGAUGAACUGCUUUCGCUAACGAGCUCCACCUGCCCGGGUUUAUUGUUCGGAGUUUGCUCUCCUAGGUGUAUUACCUAUGACGGCUCACGAGCCCAACCUGCCCGGGUUUAUUGUUCGGAGUUUGCUCUCCUAGGUGUAUUACCUAUGACGGCUCACGAGCCCAACCUGCCCGGGUUUAUUGUUCGGAGUUUGCUCUCCUAGGUGAAUUGCCUACCACGGCUAACGAACCUCACCUGCCCGGGUUUGUUGUUCGGAGUUUGCUCUCCUAGGUGAAUUGCCUACCACGGCUAACGAACCUCACCUGCCCGGGUUUGUUGUUCGGAGUUUGCUCUCCUAGGCAGAUUGCCUACCACGGCUAACGAGCCCCACCUGCCCGGCGUUGUAGCCGAAAGAUCUCCGGC